Cyprinus carpio carpio is the source of this 1741-nucleotide long non-coding RNA. NCBI's taxonomy places the organism in Eukaryota, Metazoa, Chordata, Actinopteri, Cypriniformes, Cyprinidae. The record is from Ensembl.
CUCAGCUGUGCUAGACUGUGUUAAACUGCUGAAGCUUUGUUGGGUUCAUGUGGUUCAGUUGAGGUGGUUCAGCUGUUCGGUUUUGGCUCAGUUAAGGCUAAAUAUGUUAAAGUGCUAUAAUAAUUAAUAGCUUCAUUACUGUCCAUGUGCUUGAAUCAGGGUGUCACUCUAGCACGGUGUAAAUGAGCUGGGCGCUGAUGAACUGGCCUUAAUUAGACACUCACACACAUACACAAAUACUGCACAAGUCACAGCUACAAAAUGCUUUAAUUAGCAUGAUAAUGAUCUGUCAUUUAGAAACCCAACCCUCUUAACGCACACACAGCGCUGGUAUGCUCUUAAUGUGUGUGUGUUGAAGUACUUCUUGCCCUCACAUGCUCCAGCGCUGCACUGCUCACGCUGUUCGCUGGCUUUCCCUUUCCAAACCCUCGUUUUCUUGUGCUUUCUCCAUCUGUGAGUCAUUCUUGAGAGCGUUCUGUCAUCUUUGCUACUGCCCAAAGCAGUGUCUGCAGAAGAGAGAGAUGAGAAGAGAAGGAAUGAGAGAAAAGAAUAGACAACAGAUAGAAAAUUAUAAGAGGUCAAGAUUAAACAUGCUUCUUAUUGGCUGAUUGGAUGACAGCAUGUCACCCAACCUACCCAUCUGGUUAAUUCUGCCAAGCAAAAGAUGAAACCGCACCAAAAAUACUGCAGAGAUUGAUUCAGUGCACGACUUUUGACAUGAACAACAAGAUAAGAGUGGUGUAUCUAUGGCCUCUAGCAGGGGAUAAGUGGGCCAUGCUAACCAGCUAAUCCCUGACCCCUACAGGUCAGCACAGUGAUGUCAUGAACUGAUUCCAGAUCAGAUGCAACUGGCUGUGGGAAGGACUGACUGCAGGUCAGCGUGGAAAAAUAGGAAGGUUCGGGGGAAUAAACUUAAACUGGUGCAAUCCCACAGACGUCCUGGGUGAGUUUAUUCCCUUAAGCGCAGUGUGGAAAAUUUGCGUGUCAAGCUGUGUUUUCCAGCACAUGAAUCCACACACACACACAGUUUAAUCCUGCGCAGUGGGGAUUGCCGUCUGGAGAUUGUACCGCGUCCAAGACUGAGUCGCCGCUUGCUGACCUUCUCACACACACUUCUAUACAUCCGUUCUAAGGCGGUGUGUGUGCAGCGUACAGCUUUGAUCCCCAGCUGAAGGGUACUUACAGGCCAAAUUUCCAAAUGCGUAAGAGUCAGCCCUCCCACUGGAGAGAGAGCGAGAGAGACAGAAUGAAUUCUUACACGGCUCUGGGAAUUGGGUCUCGGCGGCAGGAGCUAUUAAUAUAUCGCUGCGGCCCCCGAGAGAGAGACGGCGAGGUAGACAGAAAGACAAUCAGAUAAAGCCAGCGAUAGAAAGAGAGAGAAACAGAGAGGAAGAGAAACUGAGAGACAGACAGGUAGUUCAGACAGAGAAAAAGAGUGGUAGAAAGAUAGACAGGCAAAGAGAUACCAAACAGAUAGAGUGAAAGAAUGAUUACAGAAGGAUAGACAGAGACAUAGACACAGAGAGAGAAAGACCUAUACUGUCCACCACAGUGAUCCUUAGUAUGUCUGUGUGUUUCUAUGUAAGUUAAAGAUGUUAUAAUGUGUUACAGUUUAAUACUUCUAAGAUGUUACAAUAUUCCAUUCUAUUACUGUGAUGUUCAUUUAAAUAUUAUUAUUGUUAUAUUAUUAUUUUUAUCUUUUUGUACAUGUAUACUUAGAUGCAAAGAAAGCAAUAGAAAC